This 324-nucleotide ribosomal RNA is filed under the name [Clostridium] aminophilum. Its description in RNAcentral is "Clostridium aminophilum Bacterial large subunit ribosomal RNA". It matches the Rfam family "Bacterial large subunit ribosomal RNA", at positions 2599 to 2925 of the family's 2925-position model. The record is from Rfam by way of RNAcentral. Lineage: Bacteria; Bacillati; Bacillota; Clostridia; Lachnospirales; Lachnospiraceae.
CGCGAGCUGGGUUCAGAACGUCGUGAGACAGUUCGGUCCCUAUCCGGCGCGGGCGCAGGAUAUUUGAGAGGAGCCGUCCCUAGUACGAGAGGACCGGGAUGGACUGGCCGCUGGUGUAUCUGUUAGGAAUCAAUCCUAUGGCAGAGUAGCCAAGCCGGGAGGGGAUAAACGCUGAAGGCAUCUAAGCGUGAAGCCCCCCUCAAGAUGAGAUAUCCCAUUCGUAAGAAGUAAGACCCCUUAGAGAGUAUGAGGUUGAUAGGGCAGAGGUGGAAGUGCAGUAAUGCAUGCAGCUGACUGUCACUAAUAGGUCGAGGGCUUAUCCAG